Molecule: ribosomal RNA, 379 nt
Filed under: uncultured eukaryote
Lineage: Eukaryota
Description: partial 18S ribosomal RNA
Rfam family: Eukaryotic small subunit ribosomal RNA
Source: RNAcentral
CAAUAGCGUAUAUUUAAGUUGUUGCAGUUAAAAAGCUCGUAGUUGGAUUUCGGGUGUUGCGGGCCGGUCCGCCGUUUCGGUGAGCACUGGCUGGCUUCAUCUUUCUGUCGAGGACGUGCUUCUGUCCUUAACUGGUCGGGACACGGAGUCGGCGAUGUUACUUUGAAAAAAUUAGAGUGUUCAAAGCGGGCUUACGCUUGAAUAUAUUAGCAUGGAAUAACACUAUAGGACUCCUGUCCUAUUUUGUUGGUCUUCGGGACGGGAGUAAUGAUUAAGAGGAACAGUUGGGGGCAUUCGUAUUUCAUUGUCAGAGGUGAAAUUCUUGGAUUUAUGAAAGACGAACUUCUGCGAAAGCAUUUGCCAAGGAUGUUUUCAUUAA